This 253-nucleotide ribosomal RNA is filed under the name uncultured prokaryote. RNAcentral describes it as "partial 16S ribosomal RNA". It matches the Rfam family "Bacterial small subunit ribosomal RNA", at positions 525 to 777 of the family's 1533-position model. The record is from RNAcentral.
ACGUAGGAUCCGAGCGUUAUCCGGAUUUACUGGGCGUAAAGCGCGUGUAGGUGGUCUGUUAAGUUGGGUGUUAAAUCUCUCGGCUCAACCGGGAGGUGUCGCUCAAAACUGGCAGACUGGAGGACGGUAGAGGAAGGUGGAAUUCCGGGUGUAGUGGUGAAAUGCGUAGAUAUCCGGAGGAACAUCAGUGGCGAAGGCGGCCUUCUGGACCGCUCCUGACACUCCAACGCGAAAGCUAGGGGAGCAGACGGGA